GGGGAUGAUGGGCUUCGACGGAAUAAAGCACAUGAUGAUUGCGCGUCGAGAUGAUUCACUCGUAAAAAUCAACUCAAAUAACUGCUAAACAAACAUUAGCGUUUAGUCCAAGGAUUCCUGCAUUCGCAGCGGCCUAGGACUCAUCGGCAUGCUGAGGUUUCAUAGGCAUUAACCGGUGUUACACAUGAAGCUCGUACGUAAGUGGCACUCUUAUGCUUACGCAUUAAACCUUAAAGAGUAAUUCGUUUCGAUUAUCGAAACUACACGCGUAGAGGUCAUCUUCUGCUCAUUCCGGACUAGGGUUCAACUCCCUACAUCUCCACUA
This 325-nucleotide transfer-messenger RNA is filed under the name Candidatus Harrisonbacteria bacterium RIFCSPLOWO2_01_FULL_40_28. It matches the Rfam family "transfer-messenger RNA". From Rfam's summary of the family: Bacterial tmRNA, also known as 10Sa RNA or SsrA, is named for its dual tRNA and mRNA-like properties. Lineage: Bacteria; Candidatus Harrisoniibacteriota. RNAcentral also lists the same sequence under 2 other names. The record is from RNAcentral.